Non-coding RNA from Drosophila suzukii, 1607 nucleotides. Lineage: Eukaryota; Metazoa; Arthropoda; Insecta; Diptera; Drosophilidae. The record is from RefSeq and is a predicted model, not a curated record.
UUCGGCGCCGCGUUUUUGAGCUCCCUAAAGAAAGAAAGGAAAAAGCGGAGCUAGAAUUUUUUGAGAAAGAUGCCAUAAACAAAUAUGUAGUUUAAAGUAAAGUAUUUAACGCGUGUUUUCUGCGGUGGUGUGGGAGUACGCCUGCUAACUCAAAUUGCCGUUGAUUGCAAGCCUAGCUCACCCACACACACGCACGCUCUAUCGCACACACUCGAGACUCUGCUUUACCGAUAAAAAAAAAGAAGAAAAAAAAACGAAACGAAAAGCGAACAAACGGAUGCAUGCAGCAUUUACAGUUGAGUUCAAAUGUGCCGUCUAAUUAGAAAUGAUUUAAUUUCAAUAGCGAUUUAAUAAAAACGAAUUUGCGAAACGAAGCGACGCCGCGUGUGUAUUUCGUAUGUACAUGUGUGUACAUGCAUGUGCCUGUGUGUAAUUCGCCAUACUUCUUCAAUUCAAAGAACAGACAGAAGAAGAACACAACAAGACAUACUUGAGAAAUAAAAGCAACAGCAGCAACAACUACAACUAUUGCUAUCAACUUGAGCCAUCAGCGCAGGCUCUGGCUCUCUCGCUCUUUCUCUCUCUCCCGCUCUUUGCCGUGUUGCUGUGCGCGUGUGUAAGCUUCGCUUGGUUAGUGUAUGGGCACGAGAGCAAUGACAUGGCAUGCAAAGCCAGCUAAGCAGCUGGAAAACUAAGCUAAAACGCCAAAGCCGAACUGGAAAAGCAAAAACCAAACCCAAUCACCAAUCAAACCAACCAAAAAUGCCACAGAAAGUCGUGCAGUGGCAAUAAUCAUCGUCAUCAUCAUCAUUCGAAAGGAAGGAUGCGGAUGCGGAUGCUCUUUUCUGACUCUAUUUUGUCGGCGAACAUGGAUCUAGUGCACGGUGGUUCAUGAUUAAGUUCGUGACUAGAUUUCAUGCUCGUCUAUUAAGUUGGGUCAGCACAACGAAGAGAGUUUUCCAACCCACACCCCCUUUGGGGAGGGGGGAGUUUUCCAGCCCCCUUCCCUCCCCUCUGGCUGAGUGGCCAAUUAGCCAACGCAUUAAUUAUGGGAAAAGUAUAUUUGCCUGAUUGACCCGUGACCCACAUGCAGUGACUGGCGGCACACGCCCCGCAGAAAUAUGUGACUGCCGAAAUGAGGGCGUGUUGUGGAAAUAAAUGUAGAAUAAAAAUAAAACGAGUCAAUGGCCUGCUGUCCCGCAUGCUGUGGCGUAAAACUUGGGAGAAAAAAAAGCAGUAGCCUUGCCGAUUUGUGCUCCUUUAUCUGGCAAACGGAGUGACUGCCCUGCCAAACGGUCGCAGAAUGUGGCAAGCCGAAAACCCGUGACACCGCCAACGGUCCACCAAUUUAUGGUGGUGACACGCGAUUAAAAAUCGAAUCCAAAAGGGGCCCCUACAGAAGCAGGAAACAGAAACCGAACCCAGGGAACUGCAACGCCAAUAGAUUUCCGUGUGAAAAACUGCGAGGGUUGUUGUUGCUGGUGUGGCGCCUGCGGCCCAAAGGAAUGAAGCCGGAACACCUUUCAACCCUGCGAGCCAUUGUUAUUAUUAUGGCUGCCAUAUAGCUAGCUACUUACUACUUACUACCUACUAUAUAGGCAUGGCUA